Molecule: long non-coding RNA, 322 nt
Organism: Lepidothrix coronata (blue-crowned manakin)
Lineage: Eukaryota; Metazoa; Chordata; Aves; Passeriformes; Pipridae
Exons: 3
Source: RefSeq, a predicted model, not a curated record
CAGUAGAGGAGCAGGGGAAAGGCUGCUGUAGAUGAUGAAAGAGAUACAACUGGAAAUGUAUUUUCUCCUGUUGAGUGGUGAAGAUCUGUCCACUGAAGUGGCGGUCUUGUGCAUACAGAAACCUUUCUCUGCCUCUUCCAAGAGAAGCUGGGACACUGAAAAAAUCCAAGCACUUCUUUAGCCUACCUGGGAUGAAUGUCAGAGUUCUGAACAAGAUGCAUUGAUGAAAACUGUGACAGCUCUGGCCAGCAAGUGUGCCAAAGAGCUACACUGGAUCUGCUUACUACUGUGAUGAGGUACAAGUUUCCAUUUUCUCUGUGCG